AUCUAUGGCCAUACCACCCUGAACGCAUCUGAUCUCAGAAGCUAAGCAGAGUCGGGCCUGGUUAGUACUUGGAUGGGAGAUGGCCUGGGAAUACUGGGUGCUGUAGGCU
This 109-nucleotide ribosomal RNA is filed under the name Papio anubis (olive baboon). Lineage: Eukaryota; Metazoa; Chordata; Mammalia; Primates; Cercopithecidae. The record is from RNAcentral.